AUACUUACCUGGCAGGGGAGAUACCAUGAUCACGAGGGUGGUUUUCCCAGGGCGAGGCUUACCCAUUGCACUCCGGAUAUGCUGACCCCUGUGAUUUCCCCAAAUGCAGGAAACUCGACUGCAUAAUUUGUGGUAGUGGGGGACUGCAUUCGCACUGUCCCCUG
This 164-nucleotide small nuclear RNA is filed under the name Echinops telfairi (small Madagascar hedgehog). RNAcentral describes it as "U1 spliceosomal RNA (ENSETEG00000020722.1)". It matches the Rfam family "U1 spliceosomal RNA". Rfam says of the family: U1 is a small nuclear RNA (snRNA) component of the spliceosome (involved in pre-mRNA splicing). Its 5' end forms complementary base pairs with the 5' splice junction, thus defining the 5' donor site of an intron. Lineage: Eukaryota; Metazoa; Chordata; Mammalia; Afrosoricida; Tenrecidae. The record is from RNAcentral.